Long non-coding RNA from Cyprinus carpio carpio, 1006 nucleotides. NCBI's taxonomy places the organism in Eukaryota, Metazoa, Chordata, Actinopteri, Cypriniformes, Cyprinidae. The record is from Ensembl.
CUUUUUCUCUCUUUUGUUUGUGUCUACAGCAGCUACACACACCACAAAGGCUCUUUUAAGAGCCACAUCUUGAGAGCAUCUUUGGCUUUCUGUUCCAGUGAGCUUGUCCAAUGAAAAUGAGGAUGCUUGGGGUGAACACCCAUCUAACUUUCAAGUUUAAAGAACAUUCAUAAACACAUGCAGGAAACACAUACACUGCAAAUUAAUAACACUAGGUAACAUUACAUUUUCUGUACAAUCCAUCAGAGAACACAAUCUUUGAACAGAGACCCUCAAGUACCCACCAGGCAAGAACAAAUAGUGCUUCUGGUGUGAGACGAUGGAGCUGUAUCACUAAUCAAUGUACACGUACGUUAAAUUGAAGUGCUAAAUUUGUAAAAUUAUACAUUUUAUAGUUUAAUUAAGAUACUCUCCCAGAUAAACCUACUGUGUUGCAGCUGUUGAGAGGACAAUUCUGGAGGCACUUAACGAACUGGACAUGAAGAUCAAUCAUCUGACUUCAGUGGUCCAGUCCCUUGCAGCUAACAGACGUUCCAGUGCUCCAGUGCUGCUGGUGGACAGCGAGGAUGAUGUCUUUCCUCACACAACCAUGGAGGAACUAGACAAAUUGGAAAGACAAUUAUCAGAAAAAGCAAUGAUGCAAAAGAUGGUGAACAGGUUAUCCAUCAGCGGAGGUCACACACUGAAGAAAACCAUAUGGAGAAUAUGCUCCAAGGUUUUCGGUCCUGUAGCCAAACAGCUGAACUGGUGUGGUAGGGGAGAAAAGCGAGGGAUCAGGAAAACAAACAUAGGAGCACUCCUAAUAGGAGCAGCUAUGAAGAAUCCCGUGCUUCCGUCGCCAACUGAAGCAGAGGCUGAAAAACACGUUAAGGAUUCCGCUUGGCCCCAGGGAGAAUGCCUUGUUAAUCAACUUGCUUUUUUGUUGUUUGUUUGUUUCAGGAUUAUAAUAAUAAUAAUAAUAAUAAUAACAUAAACGACUGCUUAUUUUCAUUCACUGUUAAUAAAA